This 253-nucleotide ribosomal RNA is filed under the name uncultured bacterium. Its description in RNAcentral is "partial 16S ribosomal RNA". It matches the Rfam family "Bacterial small subunit ribosomal RNA", at positions 524 to 776 of the family's 1533-position model. The record is from RNAcentral.
UACAGAGGUCUCAAGCGUUGUUCGGAUUCAUUGGGCGUAAAGGGUGCGUAGGCGGUGGGGCAAGUCAGGUGUGAAAUCCCGGAGCUCAACUCCGGAACUGCACUUGAUACUGCCUUGCUAGAGUACUGGAGAGGAGACUGGAAUUUACGGUGUAGCAGUGAAAUGCGUAGAGAUCGUAAGGAAGACCAGUGGCGAAGGCGAGUCUCUGGACAGUUACUGACGCUGAGGCACGAAGGCCGGGGGAGCAAACGGG